RNAcentral lists this transfer RNA (70 nucleotides) under Culex quinquefasciatus (southern house mosquito). RNAcentral describes it as "tRNA-Thr". The record is from RNAcentral. Lineage: Eukaryota; Metazoa; Arthropoda; Insecta; Diptera; Culicidae.
GCAAGCUUGGCCGAAUGGUUAAGCUCUCCGCUUAGUAAGCGGAAGAUCAUGGGUUCGAUUCCCAGCUGCU